This 253-nucleotide ribosomal RNA is filed under the name uncultured bacterium. Its description in RNAcentral is "partial 16S ribosomal RNA". It matches the Rfam family "Bacterial small subunit ribosomal RNA", at positions 524 to 776 of the family's 1533-position model. The record is from RNAcentral.
UACGAAGGGGGCUAGCGUUGCUCGGAAUCACUGGGCGUAAAGGGUGCGUAGGCGGGUCUUUAAGUCAGGGGUGAAAUCCUGGAGCUCAACUCCAGAACUGCCUUUGAUACUGAAGAUCUUGAGUUCGGGAGAGGUGAGUGGAACUGCGAGUGUAGAGGUGAAAUUCGUAGAUAUUCGCGAGAACACCAGUGGCGAAGGCGGCUCACUGGCCCGAUACUGACGCUGAGGCACGAAAGCGUGGGGAGCAAACAGG